AAAUUUUAAUUCUAGAUAAAAUUGUAAAUUUUAUGAUAUGCAUGGAUUUUAAGCCAGUAUAAAGAUUUUUUAAAUUGAAAAAAUAAAAGCAUAAAAUAUGAAGGGAUAAAUUUAGUGCCAGCAAUCGCGGUCAUACUAAACCUUAAACAAUAAAACGGAUAUUUAGUUAUUUAAAUCUAGGAAAAAAAAAAUUAAGAAACUAAGUUAAAUUUUAUCUUAAUUAAUUUCUCAAAAUUUAAGAACCUAAAAAAUUUGAUAAAAAAAGAGGAUUUGAUACCCUAUUAUUACAAAAAAAAAAUUUUUCCAGAGUUAUAAUAGAAAACUAAAAACUCAAAGAAUAUGGCAGUAUAAGUGAAAUUUAGGGGAACUUGAUUCUUUAAAUUUUGAUAAUUCACAAAUAACCUUACUUUUUUUCUAAAAAAUAUUUAUAUCUCCGUUUUAAGAAGCUAAACAAAAUUAAUGUUCAUAAUUUUAACAAAAAGCAAUUCAGGUCAAGACAAAAUUUUAAAAGAAGAAUUGAGUCCCAUUCUAAAAAAAGGAAUAAAAAUAAAAUUAAAAUGAAUUUAAAAGAGAACUUAAAAGUAAAUAUCUUAAAAAAAAGAAAUUGAAUUACAACACUUAU
This 622-nucleotide ribosomal RNA is filed under the name Frankliniella intonsa. RNAcentral describes it as "small subunit ribosomal RNA". The record is from RNAcentral. Lineage: Eukaryota; Metazoa; Arthropoda; Insecta; Thysanoptera; Thripidae.